Molecule: ribosomal RNA, 387 nt
Filed under: uncultured bacterium
Lineage: Bacteria
Description: bacterial SSU rRNA
Rfam family: Bacterial small subunit ribosomal RNA
Source: RNAcentral
GACGAACGCUGGCGGCGUGCUUAACACAUGCAAGUCGAGCGGUAAGGCUCCUUCGGGAGUACACGAGCGGCGAACGGGUGAGUAACACGUGAGCAAUCUGCCCAUCUCCUUGGAAUAAGCGUUGGAAACGACGUCUAAUGCCGAAUACGACCUCCUUUCGCAUGAUCGGAGGUGGAAAGCUCCGGCGGAGAUGGAUGAGCUCGCGGCCUAUCAGCUAGUUGGUGAGGUAACGGCCCACCAAGGCGACGACGGGUAGCCGGCCUGAGAGGGUGACCGGCCACACUGGGACUGAGACACGGCCCAGACUCCUACGGGAGGCAGCAGUGGGGAAUAUUGGACAAUGGGCGAAAGCCUGAUCCAGCAACGCCGCGUGAGGGAUGACGGCCU